RNAcentral lists this long non-coding RNA (469 nucleotides) under Ursus maritimus (polar bear). RNAcentral's name for it is "lncRNA (ENSUMAG00000006996.1)". Lineage: Eukaryota; Metazoa; Chordata; Mammalia; Carnivora; Ursidae. The record is from RNAcentral.
UUUGUUAUGAUCACUUCUGUUUUACAGAUAAAGAAGCUGAGACUCAGAGUGGUUAUAGCACGCUUCCCAGGGUCACAGAGUCACAAACUCUGAAAGUUUGGCUCCUGUCUUCAAUUGGAAGAAGAAAUUAGAAGAGGAAUUAUAUACAUUACUUGGCUACAGAAGAAAAAAAAAAUAAACCAGAGAGAAUGUUCUAGAAGAGCACAACUGAAUUCCAUCUCAAAAACAAUAUUGCUUUACAAUAUCUCAAAGGAAUUUUGCUGAGUUUUCUAUUAGUAGAAGCUUUCAGUCAGGCGUAUUUUUGAGGGAUUUGCUGCAUUGGAGCAGCGUAAGCUAAUAUGAUCUACGUGUUUCUUUGUGUUUCCUUGAGCUCAUCAGUGUCAGCAUGGCCCCAUAUUGGUGGAGUGGAAUGUGAGCAUUUAUCCCCCUGGAACCUUGAGAGAGAAGUUUGAGGUGCAGAGAAGCUGAA